UACGUAGGGGGCUAGCGUUGUCCGGAAUCAUUGGGCGUAAAGCGCGCGUAGGCGGCCAGAUAAGUCCGGUGUGAAAGUCACAGGCUCAACCUGUGAAUGCCGCUGGAAACUGUCUGGCUAGAGUCCGGAAGGGGCGAGUGGAAUUCCUGGUGUAGCGGUGAAAUGCGCAGAUAUCAGGAGGAACACCCGUGGCUAAGGCGGCUCUCUAGUACGGUACUGACGCUGAGACGCGAAAGCGUGGGGAGCGAACAGG
This 253-nucleotide ribosomal RNA is filed under the name uncultured bacterium. Its description in RNAcentral is "partial 16S ribosomal RNA". It matches the Rfam family "Bacterial small subunit ribosomal RNA", at positions 524 to 776 of the family's 1533-position model. The record is from RNAcentral.